CGAAGGCAAGCAAUCGAACCUCGUGUACUCGCCGGUGUCCAUCCACGUGCUGUUGAGCCUGAUCGCGGCCGGCUCAAAGGGUCCGACUCAGGACCAGCUGCUGUCUUUUCUCAAAUCAAAGUCCACCGACCACCUCAACUCCUUCGCCGCCGAGCUCGUGUCCAUGAUCUUCUCCGAUGGGUCCCCUAGCGGCGGCCCCCAGCUGUCGUUUGCUAAUGGGGUUUGGGUGGACGGGUGUCUCCCUCUGAAGCCUUCUUUUAAGCAGGUGGUGGACACCUCUUACAUGGCUGCUCUUGCCCAAGUCGAUUUUCAGACCAAUGUAAGCUCUCAAACCCACUGUCCUGUCGUUUCGAUUGUCUUUUUUUCCGAGGAUGCUCUUGAUCAAAGUCUUCAAUUUUUUCGAUGUGAUUAGAGAUGCUUGUUCCUUUGUUGAACCUAAAUUGUAGGCCUGCUGAAUCUCUUUUACUUGUAGCAUUUCAACUAAAAAUUUCCUUUCUCUAAUCAUUAAUGUUUGUGCUUGUUAGCUAUUACAGAAUCAUAUCGUAAUUCGUAGAUUUUUGUUAUAGUACGAUCAUCACUAGGUUAAUAGUAUUGAAGUAACAUGCAGGCUGAUAUAUCAUUGUUUUCUAACUUGUCGUAACUGUUGCUGGUGCUCGAGGCUGCUCAAGUGGCCUCGGGAGUGAAUUCAUGGGCUGAAAAGGAGACGAGAGGCCUUAUCAAGGAGGUACUUCCUCCCGGGUCAGUUGACAGCUCAACCAGGCUCAUCUUUGCAAAUGCGUUAUACUUCAAAGGAGCUUGGACUGAAAAGUUUGAUGCAUCACAAACGAAAGAGCAUGAUUUCUACCUUCUCGAUGGGAGCACAGUUAAGGUGGCCUUCAUGACCAGCAGGAAGAAGCAGUAUGUAAGAUCCUUCAAUGGUUUCUCAGUCUUAGGGCUUCAUUACAAGCAAGGUGAAGACAAGCGAUGUUUCUCCAUGCACAUGUUUCUCCCAGAGGCGAAAGAUGGGCUGCCAGCUUUGGUUGAGAAACUUGGUUCUGAGUCCGGGUUUUUGGAUCGCCAUCUUCCUAACCAAAAAUUUGCAGUGGGUGAUUUCAGGAUUCCAAAGUUUAAGAUUUCAUUUGGGUUUGAAGCUUCCAAUGUCCUUAAAGGUCUUGGCUUGGUGCUGCCAUUCGGUGGCGGAGGAGGUUUGACAGAGAUGGUGGACUCGCCUGUGGGUAAGAACUUGUACGUUUCCGGCAUAUUCCAUAAGUCGUUCAUCGAAGUGAACGAAGAAGGCACAGAAGCUGCAGCUGUGUCUGCCGGGCGUGUUAGGCGUUUGCGUCUGGUAGUGCCAAGGACGGUUGACUUUGUGGCCGAUCGUCCAUUUCUCUUCUUGAUCAAGGAAGAAUUGACCGGAACUGUGCUUUUCAUCGGGCACGUACUCAAUCCUCUUGCAGACUGAGCGUUGUUAUUCCCUGUAAAAGGCAAAUGUAUACGUAGAACUACACGAGAUUAUAUAUAAAAUGUAUGAUCAUCUCUAUUAAAAUAAAUGUAUGAUCAUCAUGUUCACGUCGUCUUGUUUAUAUAUAUAAAUGUAUGAUCAUCUGUGUUAAAAUAAAUGUAUGAUCUUCAUGUUCAUGUCGUCUUGUUUCUCUCAUAUGGCUUUUGUUGUUCGUUCUGCCAUGGCUAUACCUACCCGAAACUGUUGGAAAUGCUUUGGGGAUAGGCUUUUACCCAUUAAUGCUGGAAAUGUUUUUCUCCUUAAUUGUAUUGGGAACGGUUUGGACUAGAGGUUUUUCUUUUUAGUUAAGUGUCGGAUUGUCCCGGUGAAUAGUCAUUCCUUAACCAUUUGCAUGGGCUUAAAUUCUUUGUAAUUAGUUUAAAGCAACGUUGCUCUUGUAAUAAAAAAACAUUAUAAACCAAGUGCUCGGUAAUUAUUGCACGUUCAGUUAACAUGAAUCGGGACAAGUAAAGAAUCAUAGAACUUACGAGCAGGGAAUGUACAGAGGGAAAAUUUAUCUUAUCAACUGGCCAUGUAAUUUACAUAAUUCUUGAAUUUUAGGUUAAGUUAUAUUUUGUAGAUCAGGCGUAAGUUGAUUUUUUUUUUAAAUUAUUAAAGAAAUCAAUCAUCAAUUAUCACAUAAUGUGAUUUGUAAAAUAUUGUUCGAGUAGAUAGUCUCUCGAGAAUGACUCAAACUUUAUAAUGAUUUUGAUUUUUAUUACAUAGUAAUCAUGUCAUUAAGGUCAAACUUUGAACAAACAUCCAUUUACAUAGCAAGCAUGUUAUUAUGGUGUAUGCUCAUCGUCGCUUUCAAACCUUGACAUGUGUCUUCUAACAUAACCAUAAUGAAAAUUAUACUUUCAAAUUUAUUUUUUUUAUUUUGAAAGGAUGUCAACUAGUGCCAAGCUAGGACUAGAAACACAAUUUGGCAACAACAUUCCAUAUUUACCCCUGCUUUUGCUGGCUGUAUCUCAAAAAUAUAUGGGCAGUCCUCCUAAUUUUCAUCUUCUUACCGGAAUCUCACCCCACAAAUCAAAUUACAGCCCACAACUGCCUAAUUUUUGUUAGUACCAAAAUCAAGAACCAAUAACAAUAUCUUAUUAUUCGUUGCAGUUUAAAUGACACUUGUUGAUGAGUUUUGUUGCAGUUAAAUUUCAGGAUAAUAUUAGAGAGACUAAAUUUGAAGAUGAAAUUUACAAAUUAAAUGUUAUGUCACCAAUAAAAAUGAGCAUGUUUAUUAACGUUUAAAUGAUAAACCAAUUAUCAACUUCUAUAUAUGUUUGAACCCGAUGUUACACCAUCGGUUCGAGUAAUCGAGGCUAUUGAAUAAGCAGAAUUUUAGAUCGUUGAAAUUAUUAGAAAAUCUGAGCAUGCACGAUAGUUAUAACGGUGAGAAAAGUUACGGUAAUAUUAGCGUACUUCUUACGUGGCCACGCCCAAAACGAAGUCGUGGCAACUCGCGCGAAUGCCACUGCUCCCUCUAUCGUCUUCUUUCCCGCUUGGCUUCGCAUUGAUCGUUUGAACCUGUAACCGAUCACCGAUCACCGACGACCGACACCGACUUUCCUAUUUUCUCGAUGGUGAGAAAGCAUACGGCCCAAUAUUAGCGUACUUCUUACGUGGCCACGCUCAAAACGAAGCGUGGCGACUCCCACGAAUGCCACUUCUCCCUCUAUUGUCUUCUUCCCCACUUGGCCUCGCAUUGAUCGUUUGAACCUGCAACCGAUGACCGACGACCGACACCGAGAUUUUCCCAAACCUUGGUCCUUACUCUCGUAUAAAUUAGAAACGAACAGCGGAACAAUUUUCUCGCAACCGGAAGCACAGCAAACAUGGAUCUGAGAGAAAGCAUCAUCAACCAAAACGACGUCGCAAGGAGGCUGACGAAGCAGCUGGUUCAGACCGAAGGCAAGCAGUCGAACCUCGUGUACUCGCCGCUGUCCAUCCACGUUGUGCUGAGCCUGAUCGCGGCCGGGUCAAAGGGUCCCACCCAGGAGCAGCUGCUGUCGUUCCUCAAGUCAAAGUCCACCGACCACCUCAACUCCUUCGCCUCCCAGCUCGUGUCCGUGAUCUUCUCCGACGGGUCCCCCGUGGGCGGCCCCAAGCUGGCGUUUGCGAAUGGGGUUUGGGUGCACAAGCCUCUCCCGCUGAAGCCUUCCUUCGAGCAGGUGGUGGACGCUUCUUACAAGGCCGCUCUUGCCCCAGUCGAUUUUCAGACCAAUGUAAGCUCCCAAACCCUCUGUCAUGUCGUAUCGAUAGUGUUUUUUUUCAAUGCUGCUCAUGAUCAAAGUCUUCAAUUUUUUUCGAUUUGAUUGGAGAUGUUUGUUCCUUUGUUGAACCUAAAUUGCAGGCCUGCUGAUGCUCUUUUAUUAUUGUAGCAUUUCAAAUAAAUAUUUCCUCUCUAAUCAUUACUGUUCGUGCUUGUUCUUCUGAAUAGCUUAGCUGUUACGAAAUCGUAUCGUAGAUUUUUUGUUCGUUACUGUUUGUGGUUGUAAUUGAUCGAGAUAUGCAGGCUGAUAUCAUUGUUUUCUAACUUGUCGUAACUGUUGUUGGUGCUCAAGGCUGCUCAAGUGGCGUCGGGAGUGAAUUCAUGGGCUGAAAAGGAGACGAGCGGCCUUAUCAAGGAUCUACUUCCUCCCGGGUCACUUGACAGCUCAACCAGGCUCAUCUUUACGAAUGCAUUGUACUUCAAGGGAGCUUGGAAUGAGAAAUUUGAUGCAUCAGCUACAAAAGAGCAUGACUUCCACCUUCUCGACGGGAGCACAGUUAAGGCGCCCUUCAUGACCAGCAAGAACAAGCAGUAUGUAAGUGCCUUUGACGGUUUCUCAGUCUUAGGGCUUCCUUACAGACAAGGUGAAGACAAGCGGCGCUUCUCCAUGCACAUCUUUCUUCCACAGGCGAAAGAUGGGCUGCCAGCUUUGGUUGAGAAACUUGGCUCUGAGUCCGGGUUUUUAGAUCGCUAUCUUCCCAAACAACCAGUUGCAGUGGGCGACUUCAGAAUCCCAAAGUUUAAGAUCUCAUUUGGGUUUGAAGCUUCCAAUGUCCUAAAGAGUCUGGGACUGGUGCUGCCUUUCGAGGGUGAAGGAGGUCUGACAGAGAUGGUGGACUCGCCCGAGGGUAAGAAGCUAUAUGUUUCUAGCAUAUUCCACAAGUCGUUCAUCGAAGUGAAUGAAGAAGGCACAGAAGCUGCAGCUGCUUCUGCCGGCGUUAUAAGUGAGAGGAGGAUGCCCAUGACAUUUGUGGCUGAUCGUCCAUUCCUCUUCACGAUCAGGGAAGAAACGACCGGAACAGUUCUGUUCAUCGGUAACCUGCUCAACCCUCUUGCCGGCUGAGUGUUACAACCCCCUGGGAAAGGGCAUCAGAUGUACGUAGAAUAAUACGCGCGAGACUGUAGUAAAUAAAAUGUAUGAUCCUUGUAUACAUGUACUAUGUUUGGUUAUUACCUAAUCACCCUGUACUUGCAGCAGUUGGUCUUGUUUCUCCCAUGUGGCGAUUUUUGUUUGUUCUCCCAUGGCGUUUAUCCAUGUGUAGAAUCUUGAUUCUGAAUACUUAUUUUAUGAUGUACUCUGUUUGAACAAUAAAAGUUUUAGCCGACUGCAAACGUCGGUUAGUGUUAAAGUAUUUAAUAUAUAGAAUGGACGAGUGCUAGUGUUGUACCAUACACAUGGUUGGUGAUGAAAAAGAUUAAACUUUGAAUAUUCUAUAAAAUAUUAUUUAACUUGGGACGAGGAUCUUCUUUGUGAGGAUCUUAUGAAUUAAUUUAUCUUAACGGUUCAUUGUACAUCGUGUGACCAUCUUUCAUUAGAUACUUUUUGUGUUAAAUUUUAAAUAAAUUCAAAAUAAUUUUUGGCUGCAGGAUGAUUGAUAAACAGAUAUGAUGCAUUGAUUCCUAAAGUCCUCACAAAGAGAAUCCGGAUGUUUAUAGUCCUCCAUGACUGGAGAUGGCCUAAGAUGCUAAACACUUAACACUACCCAAUUUUUCCAGUUAGUUAAAUUUUCACAAUUAGUGUAUUAAAUUGCUUAAGAAAUGUUAUCAGCACUCUAAAAUAAUUGACCAUAUUUUCUUGACUCUUUUGUUAAAUUGCAUGAAGAUUUUUUUGGAUAGUCAAUAAUAUCUCCCAAUUGCUUAACAUAGAAUUAAAUAGAGUAUCGCUAACUAGAGCAUGAUAUGUUUCUGUGUCUUUGAUGCCCUUUGCUCGAGAAAAUUUAGUAUAGGGUUUUCAUCACAAAUGGUCCCUGACAUUGAUCAAACACAUCAUUUUGGUCCCUGACAUUGAAAAUCAAUAGAAAUGGUCCCUGACAUUGAUCAAACACAUCAUUUUGGUCCCUGACAUUGAAAAUCAAUAGAAAUGGUCCCUGACAUUGAUCAAACACAUCACAAAUAGUCCUUCCGUUAAAAACGUUUUGGGCAAUUUUCAAAGCUUUGUAACUCAAUCGUUUCUUAACCAAAUUCGACCCAUAAUAUAUCAAAAUGAAGAUAGGAAAGUGUAGAACAAGAUUAUACCUAUUUGGAAACCCAAUGGUUGCCGGAGAUGGCCGGAAAACAGCCUCAAAUGUGACUGGUCCGCGAAAAAACUGGAAAACUCGCCUGAAAUGGGGUAAACUUUAAACAUUCAUAACUUCUUCAAUAAUCAACGAAAUCGAGUGAUUCAAAAAUGAAAAUCAUACUUCUCGACGAGACUAAGAGAAUGGUAGCUUUCUUGAUGGCUAACUCAUUGUAGUUUGGCCGGAAAAUGACUCGAAAUUGGCUAACUCGAAAAUGGUUAUCCAAGUUCGAGCCAUUUUCCGGUCAAACCACGGUAAAUUAGUAGUCAAUAAAGAUACCAUUAUCUUUCUCUCAUUGAGAAGUAUGAUUUUCAUUUUUGAAUCACUCAAUUUCAUUGAGUAUUGAAGAAGUUAUGAAUGUUUAAAGUUUACCCCAUUUCAGGCGAGUUUUUCAGUUUUUUCGCGGACCAGUCACAUUUGAGGCUGUUUUCCGGCCAUCUCCGGCAACCAUUGGGUUUCUAAAUAGGUAUAAUCUUGUUCUACACUUUCCUAUCUUCAUUUUGAUAUAUCAUGGGUCGAAUUUGGUUAAGAAACGAUUGAGUUACGAAGCUUUGAAAAUUGCCCAAAACGUUUUUAACGGAAGGACCAUUUGUGAUGUGUUUGAUCAAUGUCAGGGACCAUUUCUAUUGAUUUUCAAUGUCAGGGACCAAAAUGAUGUGUUUGAUCAAUGUCAGGGAUCAUUUGUGAUGAAAACCCUUUAGUAUAUGAACGACAAACUACGUGUUAUUACGGCCACAGACGAUAAUCCAGACUAUUUGUUUAAUACUUAAGCUUACUUGUGGUCCCAUUAUGUAAAAAAAUUUUGCAUUAGUCUGCACACAAGAAAUUUUUUAUUGGUUUCAGUUGAGCUCAAAUAAUAAUAAUCUGUUCGUGUAAAAGUUAAAAUUUAUCUUAUUAUGUAAUUGAUUUAAAAUACCGUAAAUACUGAUUUAAAAUUAUCUCAUUGUCAGCUUGUGUGUCAUUCUCGUAGAAUUUGGAAUUAUUCACAUUGUUUAGUAACGUAGGAUAUUUCAAGAAGCAUUUUUGCUCACUAUCAUUUAGUGUAAUGUAUAUUCAUCAUUCUAUUUAUCAUCGUUAGAUGAGUUUGAAUUUUAAGAUCCGUGUAGUGGAUAGACACAAAUUUCAAAAUUCAAUCUCAUCUAACGAUAAUAAAUAUGAUGAUGAACAUAAAUCAAAUAAAUGAUGAUGAAAAAAAAUACAUAGAUAUUUCAGUACAUGAAAACGUCACGUUAAUGAAAGGAGCUGGAGCGCCUGCUGCUGACCUCGGUCAAACAGACGGUGUGGGUUUCACGUGGCUGGCGCGAAAUCUAAACCGUUAAUUUAAUGUUAGUUAUCUCUCCCCUUGUCACGACUCCCAUGUAAUGCUGUAAAGUCACAAGCACCCAUCGUUUGGUUCUAAUAUUACAACAGUACCGCCCAUGGAAACACAAUCUUAAGCAAUCUCUAAUACUCAUAAUGUUGUUGAAGUUUUGCACUAAUAAUAGUUGCUAAACAGUGAUUAGACAGUCAGAUAAGAGACAGGGUUUAUGAUGUGAUUUGGACGUCCCAUCCUUUGCCACUUAAAAUGUCUUACCUACCAAACAUAUCUUGAAAAAUAAUUUAGCUUGGUACGAAGAAUCACAAUUUUUGUUUAUAAUUGACGAAAUCAAUCAAUGCAUGUUUUUUAUCAAAUCAAUAUUUAUUGGGAUAUUCAUCCUUAAAAUCUUCAUUUUGUUAUAAAACAACAAUAUAUUUAUUAUUUUUAAAAUUUUGUAAUACGUUUAUUUAAGUAGUGACUUUGAACGUUUUAAAAUUGAAAAAUCAAUAUUUAAAUGCAAAGUUGUCCGUUUUGAAUAAUCUCUAACAAUAUUUUCCUUCUCGUAAAUGAGUAAGAUUGGUUUAUUUUGUACACAAUUAGAUAUUGAGAGUUGAAAUUCUAAAUACUAAGUUCUUCUUAACAUAUUUUCGUAACCAUUUAAGAUGUUUGUAUAUUCGAAGAAUAUGGAAAAAUUGAAUCAACCCAGAUUAUUAUUAUGGCUGUCGACAUCUUUUAUCAGAGGAUAGCCAUCAAGUCACACCGCAUAUCCAGAAAGAGAAAUCCAUCCAAAAAAUAGGAAAACGAAAUGACAUUCCUUAUUUUCCUCCAUGGACGUCCCUUCUCUCCCCACCACGAAGGUCCCAGCUGAAAAGAAACGGAUGGCACAAUCGUGAUUAUCACAAACAGGAAUGUCAAAUUGUAGCAAGAGCAUGGUCAGCGCCGUUACAAAUAAGUGGAAGUUCCUCGGAAGAGUAAGAGAACGCGACAAUCAUAACGUAAUCUAUCUCUUCACUUUCUCAAUCCUUUUCUAUCUUUUUUUUCUUUCUGGGUUCCUUGUACUUCUCAUAAAUAUUAAGAGUUUAAUUCAAAAGAAAGGAACUUUCUCUUUCAUUGCUUACAUUUUUUUUUUCAGAUUAUUUACUUUCCCUUCCUUGCAGUUGCUUGGAAGAAACCAAGCUCAGAAGACCUUUGUUUUUUGAGAAUUCAGUUCAAUCCGUUUAUAUAUAUAUAUAUAUAUGGUGUUGAUGAUUUACCAGAAGUGAUAGUGCUUCAACCGAGAAGAAGAAGCUUUUAGUCUUCAGAAAUUCAGAGAAAAGAUAAGGAAGUGGAAGAGUGAAGGAAAAGCAAAUCAAAAGAUGGGAGAAACUGCUCCUCAUCCUCCACCACAGGUGGUUGCUCGGCCGUCUCAGAUGCCUCUUGGGGCAGCGAAGGGUCCCCAUUUGGACUCCAACUGAGCAGCUCCACAACCUUCAGUAUUGCAUCCACUCCAACCCCUCUUAGCGUUAGUCUCUCUCUGUUUCUGUUAAUUUCUUCGUUCUGGGUUUUAUAUUUUUUGAGUAAAAAGCUGAUUAAAGUUGUGCUAUUUUAAUGGGUUGGUUUAAAAGUUGAAGCUUUUGGCACUACUUCUUAUUUAGUUUACUAGUUUGCUUUUUAUUCCUAAUUUUGCAAAUUACUUUUACUAUUUUUGUUUCGGAUUCUCUAAUUUAUUGUGUUCGAAUCUUUUUAAGUACUGUAAUUAGUUCUAAUAAAAUAAUAAGCAUAUGUUCCAUUACCAGUUUCAACUUAUCCUGCUUACAAGACAUCGAUAUCACUCGAAAAUGUUUAGGAAGUGUAAACGUAAAUUUCCCAUGUUUAUCAAAUGCAACAAACUGCUUCUAAUGGAUCGAAUUUUACAGCGGAAACAUUCGUACUCGCUUUUCAGCACUAUAUUGUGAUGCUCGGAUCCAUAGUUAUAAUUGCCACUAGUUUCGUGCCUCGGAUGGGUGGGGAUCAUGUAAGUUAUGUCCUCUAUACAGUAAAGUUUAUAAUAUGCCGGUUAAGAUUAGCGAUCACACACGUAGCUUUGAAUCCGUGAUGUUAAUGUUUGGGUUUUGUUCUCCCUUUGUGAUCAGGGUGACAAGGCACGCGUGAUUCAGACGAUGCUGUUUAUGGCAGCAAUAAACACUUUGAUCCAAACAUUCACGGGACAAGGCUUCCAACAGUGAUGACUUCGUCAUUCGCUUUUACCCUUCCGGUGAUGUCAAUCAUCAAUGAUUAUUCUGAUCGGAAUUUUAGAAGUGAACAUGAGGUAUGUAAAGUUUGAAACAUGUUAUUCAUAGAGGAUUUAACAUCACAUUAAUUUACUUCUUAAAUUGCUUUAAGAAAUUUCAGUUAUAGACUUUGAGAUGAAAAAUACGUGGUGCAAAAAACGUGUAAACCUUACAUACCUGUAGAAGACGUCAUGAUGAAUUUCUGGUUUUGAGGACGGAAUAGAUUGAAGCACGUCCAUGCACUGUUGCGUCAUAUGCAACAAACUGAUGGGGAGUUCUAGGGUUGUGGCAUUAGCAAUGUGACAGGGACCUCAAACUUACAUAGGCCUCACGUCCCUAGAACCCUACCCACUAAUGGAGACUAGAAACUCUUAUGAUCCUCUAACGAGAAUAAUAAAGCCAAUGGAAAUGUUAGCACACAAUUGUUGUACAUAUAACAGACUUCGAGCAAUUUUUGGAACACGUAAAACAUUGUUAAGAAUAAGAUCAUGAGUAUUGGUUUUAAUGGUUGUUGCAUCAAUAUUCUUAAUGGAUAAACCUGUUCCAUUUCCAACUGUGAUUUUAUCAAAACCUUGGAAUGGUGUAACUUGAUUCAAUGUGGUGGCAUCAGCAGUGAUAUGAUGAGAUGCACCAGUAUCAACAAUCCAUGCAUCAUGAGGAAUAUAUUGUUCUAUCUGCUGUGUUGCCAUAGCUGUUAAGUUUGCAGGUGGUUGUUGGCCUUGAAAAACAUAAUUCCCUUUGUGAUAACAUUCAAGAGCUGAGUGACCUUUUUUUCCCACAAAUCUGACACUCCAUUUGAAAUCUAGUAUUUGGUGUAGUAGCAUUUCUGUGAAAACAAUUGACUGCAGUAUGCCCUUUCUUGUUGCAGAUUUGGCACUCAAUCACUGUUGUUGACCUGCUCUCUGUGUUUCCAUUCCACACAUUUGAACCAUUUGACCUUGAAUUGCCAUACGAAAAAUCAGAAGAGUUUCCUAUGUUGUAACCCUUGCUUUUGAAUCCACCAUUUGUCUUGUAAUUAUUGUUACCCUUGUAGUUUGAACCACCAAAAGGUUUCUGCAUGAAAUGAGGUAUUGGACCAGAAUUUGAUGCAUUAGCCAUAAACCCAAAACCAUAGGGAACUUGAGGAUAAACUGGACCAGGAAAUUGCGGAGACAUAGGAGGUUGAGGCAUAUGAGGUUGCUGUGGAUAUUGUUGUGGCAAGACAAAUGGCUGUGGUUAUUGUGGCUGUGGAUAUUGUUGUGGAUAUUGCUGUGGUAAAACAAAUGGCUCAGCAGAAUAUGGAUAUGGAUUAGGAGUUAUAACACCACCAGUGGUUGCAGGUAAAUGACUAUGCCCUGCAGGAUUAGACCCUGAAGCAAAUGAAUUUCCCUGAGUUGACUAAGAACCCUAAACAUAUAAGGCAGAUAGACUUUGAGACCCAACACUUGUGUCUCAUUCAAUCUCUUUUUCAGCUCUAAAUUUUUUCAAGGAAAUGGAUGAUUCUUUGCCAUAUAUCACAGUUCGAAUAGUUGCAUACUCCUUCGGCAAACCAGCUAAACCAGCAAUUAUAACAUCAUUAUCAGAAAUGAACUCUCCAGUAGCAGUUAAUUGUUCUCUUAUACUCUUCAAUCUUAACAGAUAUUUAUCCAUCAAAUCUCCUCAUUUUUGAAUGGUGUACAACUCAAUUUUUAAAUGAUUUACCCUAGUUUUAGACACUGAAGCAAAUCUAUCCACAAGAUUCGACCAAGCCUCACAAGCAGUUAAACAUCCAAGAACAUAUUUAAUAGCCUCAUCAAACAAAGUAGCUAGUAAAAGACUUAGUAAUGGAUAUGUGGAUUCCCAUUCAACAUAUUCAGCAAGUUCAGAAGUAACUCCUCUCUUAGUAUCUAUUACAAAUUUUUGUGGACAACCAAUAGUGCCAUCAAAAUGCCCAAACAAUUUAUGACCUUUCAACACAUAUUUGAACUGAAAAGCCCAUUUCACAAAAUUAUCAUCCUUCAACUUUAUUGUGAUCAUUCCCAGUUUCAACUUUAACACUUGAAGUAGUCAUGAUUUCUUGAUCGAACACAUAGAAUUUGCAAAUAACAAACAAACACCCAAAAAUUUCUGAUAUACGUAUUGAAAGGAAAGACUGAAACUUUCUCACAACCCAAGCAAGACUGAAACUCGCUUAAUACUCAGGAAAAACUGAAACUUUCUUGAUGAAUCUUGCACACAAAUACAACACACAAUUCCAAUUCGGAAAAGAAAACACAAAAUCUUCUAAUCAGGACUGAAACCCAAUUACUCAACAGAAAUUCACACUAUCACUUGAAUUGCAGCUGUGAUUGCAGCCACAAAUAGCCAGAAUACCAACCGCCAGAAAGAACAACAAGGAUCUGCAAUCGCCAGAACUUUUGAACAAACCCGUUGAAAAGACCUUUCAGAAUCCUUGAACUGGAUAGCAGCGAAAGAACUAGGAUCGAAAACGGUAGUGAACCAUGGUCAGCGAUGAUACCAUAUUAACAGUGUUGAAUUGUGGCCAAGUGGCCAUCACCUUUCGGCUAAUAAACAAACAAAGAAAAGAAAAAGAAAGACAAAAUGAUGAGGAAACAUCAUGAUGAGGAGGCAUCAUGAUUAUGCUUUCUUGUAGUUUUUUAAUAACCAUAAUUAUUGUUUUUGUUUCGGGUAGAAGAGAAGAAAGGGAGAGCUCAUUUUUUAGAAGAAAGCAUAUUAAAGAGAGAAGAGGAGAGAGAGAAGGUAGAGCCUUUUGGUUAUAAAAGGCAUUCGAUUAUGCCUUUGGAUGUGGGAGGGGGGGGAGCGGCAGAUGAGAGAGCACAGGGAGAGCAUUCGGCUCUCCCAUUUGAAUAUGAGCUGCUCCUUCCCACCAUUUGUAAUAAUCCCAUUUUGUUAGUAAUCACUCAAUCAAAGAUGUUGGUGCUACUUGUGUAGCUUUUGGGAGAGAAGGAUUUUGAUAUGUGUUUCUUCUUCUCCAUUUGUUUCUUAGUUUGAGUGAGAGCUAUUGGGUGUAUGUGGGAUUUGGGUUUGAGUGUUGAACUCUAUUUGUAAUCUCCUUUUGAUAUUAAUGGAAUUUCCUCGCCGUCUCGGAACUGGAUGUAGGCUUACGCCAAACCAGUAUAAAAAUCCUUGUGUCUUUUGGAUUAUUUGUCUUGUCAUAUUUUGCCGUUAUUAGCUUUGAUUUCAUAUUUGAAGCUUCCGCACAACAAGUGGUAUCAAAGCUCCGGGUUUCGACUUGGAGGCUUUGUACUAGUAUGUCUAUGAAAUCUUCAAAUGACGGUGAAAUAUGUUUUUUGGAAAAAUUCGACUGGAGGAAUGACUUUGGCAUUUGGUCAAUUGGAGAUGCAGAGUUUGGCUGCAAAAUGCGUGGCGUUGAAGAAGGAUAGUAAGGGACUAUGCUGCAGUCAUUGAGCUUGCAGAUUGGAGAAUGGUUUCGGAAACAGCGUGUCUGCUGCAAUGUUGCCGUCGAUGUUGUUGAAGUGUUGGUGUUCGACAGCUGCAGAUGUAGUGUACUGCUUUUGGUGGGUUCUCUGUUGGUCAUCGCUGCACCGGAGGUGUUUGUGGGCUGUUGUCGACGAGUUGAGUGGGAAGGAGAAAAGGUAGAAGCAGUUGAAAAUUGAAAAGAAAAUGUUGGUUCUUUUUCUUUCGGCAUUUGUUUUGGCAGAAGGACAUCAUGAUGACAAAUGAUGUUGUUGGCUGGAAGAAAAGGGAAAAAGGCUAAGGCUAAGUUUUCUUUUCUUUGGCAUUUUUUCAACGGCAGAAAAUUUUUGGUUCUUUUUUCACUCCCAUUAGUUGCCUUUGGAGCAAGUUGAUGGAAACAUUGGAGGAGUUUGUGAGGGCCAAUUUGUUGAGUUCUGCAAGUUUGGAUAGUGAGGCACCACACUAUUUUGGAUACACCACAUGCACUGCAGAACAUUUGUGUGGAACCCUCUUGUAGAAGGCAAGUUAUAUGCUUUCUAACUUUGUUUGGUCUAUGGACAUUUAGUUGGAUUUGUUUGCCACUGCUAUUUGGUUUGUUGGUCUCCAUCAUCUGCAAUUAGUUUUCUUGAAGACUCCAGUUGAGGUAUGGUUUUGGAUCUCCUGCUGAUUAUUUGAAUUUGAAAUUUUUGGUUGUCCUGUUGGUGCUCAUGUGAUGAUGGUAAACUUGAGUGGAGGGCAUAGUUUUUUUGUAUGUGGUAUGUUAGACCUUGUUGCCAAAUUUGUAAUCAGUUUUGACUUGGAGAAUAUGCCGUGCUAUUUGAAUGAGUCUAUUGAUGCAGUUUAAGACCAUGGUGUUUGUAAGCAGGUGGAGUUCGUUCUGUGUCCAACUUUGGUAUGGUGUGCUUGAUCUUUUGUUAGUGAUAUUGAAGAAUUUCAGUUCUUCGUUUGAAUCACUUUUGUUUUGAUCAAGGCACUUAUGGUUUGCAAAUUUGGAGAAUACGGUAGAGAAAUGGUCUACUUUUGUUGGCUUUGGUAUAAUUUGAGUCGAGGUGGAGAUCAUUAUGAGUACCGGAAAGUUUGGGGAAUUUGAUUUAGUUCCCGUUGUCUUUAGUUUGUACUUUGGGUGAUUAUGGUGAUUGUUGAUUCGAUUCUCUGUGAUGGUUUCGGAACUUGGCCAAGGUGGAGAUUGUUGAAUUGUGGCCAAGUGGCCAUCAUCGGCUAAUAAACAAACAAAAGAAAAGAAAAAGAAAGACAAAAUGAUGAGGAAACAUCAUGAUGAGGAGGCAUCAUGAUUAUGCUUUCUUCUUUUGUGGUUUUUUAAUAACCAUAAUUAUUGUUUGUUUAUUAGCCGAAAGGUGAUGGCCACUUGGCCACAAUUCAACAAUCUCCACCUUGGCCAAGUUCCGAAACCAUCACAGAGAAUCGAAUCAACAAUCACCAUAAUCACCCAAAGUACAAACUAAAGACAACGGGAACUAAAUCAAAUUCCCCAAACUUUCCGAUACUCAUAAUGAUCUCCACCUUGACUCAAAUUGUACCAAAGCCAACAAAAGUAGACCACUUCUCUACCGUCUUCUCCAAAUUUAAAUCCUAUGAAGAAAGGGAGAGCUCAUUUUUUAGAAGAAAGCAGAUUGAAGAGAGAAGAGGAGAGAGAAGGUAGAACCUUUUGGUUAUAAAAGGCAUUCGAUUAUGCCUUUGGAUGUGGGGAGAGCGGCAGAUGAGAGAGCACAGGGAGAGCAUUCGGCUCUCCCAUUUGAAUAUGAGUUGCUCCUUCCCACCAUUUGUAAUAAUCCAAUUUUGUUAGUAAUCACUCAAUCAAAGAUGUUGGUGCUACUUGUGUAGCUUUUGGGAGAGAAGGAUUUUGAUAUGUGUUUCUUCUUCUCCAUUUGUUUCUUAGUUUGAGUGAGAGCUAUUGGGUGUAUGUGGGAUUUGGGUUUGAGUGUUGAACUCUAUUUGUAAUCUUCUUUUGAUAUUAGUGGAAUUUCCUCGCCGUCUCGGAACUGGAUGUAGGCUUAUGCCGAACCAGUAUAAAAAUCCUUGUGUCUUUUGGAUUAUUUGUCUUGUCAUAUUUUGCCAUUAUUAGCUUUGGUUUCAUAUUUGAAGCUUCAGCAAUACAAACAGUACAAGAUCAAUGAAUUCCUAUGAAUGAAUAAACUAAAGAAAUCGAAGAAAGAGAAUAACGAGAGAGAAAAGCUUUUCAUUUAUAUUGCUCUAACAGAAAAUGAUUACAUGAUAAAAAUCUAAGUCUCCAAAACAAUAAUUAUAUAGAGACUAGAAUGAGCAGAAUCACAAUAUUGCCUUUCUAACUAAUUCUUAUCUUCUAACAACCUCAACACUCACAAGCUUGACACUUGUCAUUUCUUACAACCACUCCUAACAAAUCCUAACUGUUUAUCUGGUUAAUAUAACGGAUGGCCGACGACCGACACCGAGAUUUUCCCAAACCUUGGUCCUUACUCUCGUAUAAAUUCGAAACGAACAGUAAACAAUUUUCUCGCAAUCGGAAGCACGGCAAACAUGGAUCUGAGAGAAAGCAUCAUCAACCAAAACGACGUCGCAAGGAGGCUGACGAAGCAGCUGGUUCAGACCGAAGGCAAGCAGUCGAACCUCGUGUACUCGCCGCUGUCCAUCCACGUGGUGCUGAGCCUGAUCGCAGCCGGGUCAAAGGGUCCCACCCAGGAGCAGCUGCUCUCAUUCCUCAAGUCAGAGUCCACCGACCACCUCAACUCCUUCGCCUCCCAGCUCCUGCCCUUUAUCUUCUCCGAUGGGUCCCCCGUGGGCGGCCCCAAGCUGGCGUUUGCGAAUGGCGUUUGGGUGCAGAAGCCUCUCCCUCUGAAGCCUUCCUUCAAGCAGGUGGUGGAAGCUUCUUACAGGGCCGCUCUCGUCCUAGUUGAUUUUCAGACCAAUGUAAGCUCCCAAACCCUCUGUCAUGUCGUUUCGAUUGUUUUUGUCGAUGCUGCUCAUGAUCAAAGUCUUUGGUUGUAAUUUCAGACCAAUGUUUCAAUGUCGAUGCUGCUGAUGCUCUUUUGUUCGUUACUGUUUUUGGUUGUAAUUGAUCGAGAUAUGCAGGUUGAUAUCAUUGUUUUCUAACUUGUCGUAACUGUUGUUGGUGCUCAAGGCUGCUCAAGUGGAGUCGGAAGUGAAUUCAUGGGCUGAAAAGGAGACGAGCGGCCUUAUCAAGGAUCUACUUCCUCCCGGGUCACUUGACAGCUUCACCAGGCUCAUCUUUACCAAUGCAUUAUACUUCAAGGGAGCUUGGAAUGAGAAAUUUGAUGCAACAGCUACAAAAGAGCAUGACUUCCACCUUCUCGACGGGAGCACAGUUAAGGCGCCCUUCAUGACCAACAAGAACCAGCAGUAUGUAAGUGCCUUUGACGGUUUCUCAGUCUUAGGGCUUCCUUACAAACAAGGUGAAGACAAGCGGCGCUUCUCCAUGCACAUCUUUCUUCCACAGGAGAAAGAUGGGCUGCCAGCUUUGGUUGAGAAACUUGGCUCUGAGUCCGGGUUUUUAGAUCGCUAUCUUCCCAAACAACCAGUUGCAGUGGGCGACUUCAGAAUCCCAAAGUUUAAGAUCUCAUUUGGGUUUGAAGCUUCCAAUGUCCUAAAGAGUCUGGGACUGGUGCUGCCUUUCGUGGGUGGAGGUCUGACAGAGAUGGUGGACUCGCCCGAGGGUAAGAAGCUAUAUGUUUCCAACAUAUUCCACAAGUCGUUCAUCGAAGUGAAUGAAGAAGGCACAGAAGCUGCAGCUGCUUCUGCCGGCGUUAUAAGUGAUAGGAGGAUGCCCAUGACAUUUGUGGCUGAUCGUCCGUUCCUCUUCACGAUCAGGGAAGAAACGACCGGAACAGUUCUGUUCAUCGGUAACCUGCUCAACCCUCUUGCCGGCUGAGUGUUACAAUCCCCUGGGAAAAGGCAUCAUGUGUACGUAGAAUAAUACGAGAGUAUAGUAAAUAAAAUGUAUGAUCCUUGUAUACAUGUGCUAGGUUUGGUUAUUACCUAAUCACCCUGUACUUGCCGCAGUUGGUCUUGUUUCUCCCAUGUGGCGAUUGUUGCUCGUUCUCCCAUGGCGUUUAUCUAUUUGUACAAUCUUGAUUCUGAAUACUUAUUUUAUGUUGUACUCUGUUUGAACAAUUAAAGUUUUAGCCGACUGCAAACGUCGGUUAAGUGUUAAAGUAUUUGGACAGGGAUUGUCUGCUUUUUCAUUUUUCGUGUCCUUCUGUUUUGUGUGUUCACAGUUAAACUACGUCAAUAUUUUAUAUUAUUUUUUUAUAGAAAUAAUAAGAUAAAAAUAAAUAAUAAUAUAAAAUAUUAACGUGACUUAACUGUAACCACACAAACAGGAGGGCACGGAAGACCACCGGAAGUGGAAGAGCGGACAUUCUUGUCCAAAGUAUUUAAUAUAUAGAAUGUACGAGUGCUAGUGCUGUACCAUAUACAUGGUUGGUGAUGAAAAGGAUUAAACUAUGAAUAUUCUAUAAAAUAUUAUUUACCCUAGGACGAGGAUUUUCUUUGGAUCUUCUUUACGAGGAUCUUAGGAAUUAAUUCAUUUUAACGGUUUAUUGUACAUCGUACGGUCAACUUUCGUUAGAUACUUUUUAUGUUUAAUUUUAAAUAAAUUCAAAAUAAUUUUUCACUGCAUGAUGCAUUGAUUCCUAAAGCACUCGCAAAGAGACUCCAGAUGUUUAGUUCUCCAUGACUGGAGAUGGCCUAAGAUGCUAAACACUUAACACUAACCAAUUUUUCCGGUUAGUUAAAUUGUUUAAUAAAUGCUAUCCACACUCUAAAAUAAUUGACCAUAUUUUCUUGACUCUUUUGUUAGAUUGCAUGAAAUAUUGUUCGAGUAAAUAAUCUCUCAAGUAUCACUCAGACUUCAUAAUGAUUUUGAUUUUGAUUACAUAGUAAGCAUGUCAUUAAGGUCAAAUUUUGAACAAACACCCAAUUACAUAGCACGCAUGUUAUUAUGGUGUAUGCUCAUUGUCACUUUCAAAACUUGACACCUGUCUACUAACAUAACCGAUGGCCGACGACCGACACCUUCCCAAACCUUGGUCCUUACCCUCGUAUAAAUUCGAAACGAACAGUAAACAAUUUUCUCGCAAUCGGAAGCACGGCAAACAUGGAUCUGAGAGAAAGCAUCAUCAACCAAAACGACGUCGCAAGGAGGCUGACGAAGCAGCUGGUUCAGACCGAAGGCAAGCAGUUGAACCUCGUGUACUCGCCGCUGUCCAUCCACGUGGUGCUGAGCCUGAUCACAGCCGGGUCAAAGGGUCCCACCCAGGAGCAGCUGCUCUCAUUCCUCAAGUCAAAGUCCACCGAUCACCUCAACUCCUUCGCCUCCCAGCUAGUGUCCGUGAUCUUCUCCGAUGGGUCCCCCGUGGGCGGCCCCAAGCUGGCGUUUGCGAAUGGGCUUUGGGUGCACAAGCCUCUCACGCUGAAGCCUUCCUUCAAGCAGGUGGUGGACGCUUCUUACAAGGCAGCUCUCGCCCUAGUCGAUUUUCAGACUAAUGUAAGCUCCCAAACCCUCUGUCAUGUCGUUUCGAUAGUUUUUUUUUCAAUGCUGCUCAUGAUCAAAGUCCUGAAUUUUUUUUCCCGAUUUGAUUAGAGAUGUAUAAAUAUUUCCUAAAUUGCAGGCCUGCUGAUGCUCUUUUAUUCUUGUAGCAUUUCAACUAAAUAUUUCCUCUCUAAUCAUUACUGUUUGUGCUUGUUCUUGUGCAUAGCCGUUACGAAAUCGUAUCGAAGAUUUUUUUGUUCGUUACUGUUUGUGGUUAUAAUCUAGGUAUUAAAUAUUGAUAAUAUCGGAAAUAUCGGUAGUCCAGAAACACGGAAAUAUUGAUGGAAAUAUCGGGAUAUUAUCGAUAUGUAUAAAAAUAAUAUGGAAACCACGGAAAUUGUAAGAAAAACUUGGAAAUUUUUAUUGAAACUUUGCAGGAUGUUUAUUUAGUCAAUUAUCUAUUAGUUUAUCACAAAAUAUUGGAAGGAAAUGUAUUACAUAAUAGAUUUAACUGAUUUAAGUUGAUUAUAUAGCGAACUAGCGAACUACCAAACAUUAUGAGUUAGAAAAUAUGUAGUAAUUAAUAAAAGAAGUUUAAACACACAGUCACCGACUAUUAAAAAUUGUACAUGUAAAAGCUGUAAAAGUUGAAUUAUUUAGAUGCUUUUUUUUCUUACAUGCCACCCACACACACACACACACAGACUCUCACACGCCAACACACACGCACACACAGAUCACACACACAUCACACACACAGACAGAGACUGAGGUCUCUCUUUCUCGAUCCUUCUCUCUUCUCUCUCGAUCCUUCUCCCUUCUCUUCGACAGAGACUGAGGUCUAUCUCUCUCUCGAUCCUUCUCUCUUCUCUCCCUUCUCCAUUCUCCCACACACACACCCAGAUCUCUCGAUCUCUCUUCUCCCUUCUCCCACACACACGCACAGAGACCUCGCCCCUCCCCCCUCGUCAUCGUCUCCACCGCAAAUCUAGGUCUUUGAACGUAAAUUGCAGGCCUGCUGAUGCUCUUUUAUUCUUGUAGCAUUUCAACUAAAUAUUUCCUCUCUAAUCAUUACUGUUUGUGCUUGUUCUUGUGCAUAGCCGUUACGAAAUCAUAUCGAAGAUUUUUUGUUUGUUACUAUUUGUGGUUAUAAUCUAGGUAUUAAAUAUUGGUAAUAUCGGUAGUCCAGAAACACGGAAAUAUUGAUGGAAAUAUCGGGAUAUUAUCGAUAUGUAUAAAAAUAAUAUGGAAACCACGGAAAUUGUAAGAAAAACUUGAAAAUUUUUAUUGAAACUUUGCAGGAUGUUUAUUUAGUCAAUUAUCUAUUAGUUUAUCACAAAAAAAUUGGAAGGAAAUGCAUUGCAUGAUAGAUUUAACUGAUUUAAGUUGAUUAUAUAGCGAACUAGCGAACUAGCAAACAUUAUGAGUGUAGAAAAUAUGUAGUAAUUAAUGAAAGAAGUUUAAACACACAGUCACCGACUAUUAAAAAUUGUACAUGUAAAAGCUGUAAAAGUUGAAUUAUUUAGAUGUUUUUUUUUCUUACAUGCCAUCCACACACACACACACACACAGACUCUCACACGCCAACACACACCACGCAUACACAGAUCACACACACAGACAGAGACUGAGGUCUCUCUCUCUCGAU
This 20103-nucleotide long non-coding RNA is filed under the name Malus domestica (apple). Its description in RNAcentral is "long non-coding RNA (MDOM_LNC007255)". Lineage: Eukaryota; Viridiplantae; Streptophyta; Magnoliopsida; Rosales; Rosaceae. The record is from RNAcentral.